Molecule: ribosomal RNA, 497 nt
Filed under: uncultured bacterium
Lineage: Bacteria
Description: partial 16S ribosomal RNA
Rfam family: Bacterial small subunit ribosomal RNA
Source: RNAcentral
GAUGAACGCUGGCGGCGUGCCUAAUACAUGCAAGUCGAGCGAACAGACGAGGAGCUUACUCCUCUGACGUUAGCGGCGGACGGGUGAGUAGCACGUGGAUAACCUACCUAUAAGACUGGGAUAACUUCGGGAAACCGGAGCUAAUACCGGAUAACAUGUUGAACCGCAUGGUUCAACAGUGAAAGACGGUCUUGCUGUCACUUAUAGAUGGAUCCGCGUCGCAUUAGCUAGUUGGUAAGGUAACGGCUUACCAAGGCAACGAUGCGUAGCCGACCUGAGAGGGUGAUCGGCCACACUGGAACUGAGACACGGUCCAGACUCCUACGGGAGGCAGCAGUAGGGAAUCUUCCGCAAUGGGCGAAAGCCUGACGGAGCAACGCCGCGUGAGUGAAGAAGGUCUUCGGAUCGUAAAACUCUGUUAUUAGGGAAGAACAAAUGUGUAAGUAACUAUGCACGUCUUGACGGUACCUAAUCAGAAAGCCACGGCUAACUACGUG